ACCAGUUUGGCUCAGUGGAUAGAGCGUUGGCCUGUCGACUCAAGGGCCGCAGGUUCGAUUCCGGUCAAGGGCA
RNAcentral lists this transfer RNA (73 nucleotides) under Myotis davidii. It matches the Rfam family "tRNA". Rfam says of the family: Transfer RNA (tRNA) molecules are approximately 80 nucleotides in length. Their secondary structure includes four short double-helical elements and three loops (D, anti-codon, and T loops). Further hydrogen bonds mediate the characteristic L-shaped molecular structure. tRNAs have two regions of fundamental functional importance: the anti-codon, which is responsible for specific mRNA codon recognition, and the 3' end, to which the tRNAs corresponding amino acid is attached (by aminoacyl-tRNA synthetases). tRNAs cope with the degeneracy of the genetic code in two manners: having more than one tRNA (with a specific anti-codon) for a particular amino acid; and 'wobble' base-pairing, i.e. permitting non-standard base-pairing at the 3rd anti-codon position. Lineage: Eukaryota; Metazoa; Chordata; Mammalia; Chiroptera; Vespertilionidae. The record is from Rfam by way of RNAcentral.